Molecule: ribosomal RNA, 445 nt
Filed under: uncultured bacterium
Lineage: Bacteria
Description: partial 16S ribosomal RNA
Rfam family: Bacterial small subunit ribosomal RNA
Source: RNAcentral
GUGAGGAAUAUUGGUCAAUGGGCGGGAGCCUGAACCAGCCAAGUCGCGUGAAGGAAGAAGGAUCUAUGGUUCGUAAACUUCUUUUGCAGGGGAAUAAAGUGCGGGACGUGUCCUGUUUUGUAUGUACCCUGAGAAUAAGGAUCGGCUAACUCCGUGCCAGCAGCCGCGGUAAUACGGAGGAUCCGAGCGUUAUCCGGAUUUAUUGGGUUUAAAGGGUGCGUAGGUGGUUUGAUAAGUCAGCGGUGAAAGUUUGCAGCUUAACUGUAAAAAUGCCGUUGAAACUGUCGGACUUGAGUGUAAAUGAGGUAGGCGGAAUGCGUGGUGUAGCGGUGAAAUGCAUAGAUAUCACGCAGAACUCCGAUUGCGAAGGCAGCUUACUAAGCUACAACUGACACUGAAGCACGAAAGCGUGGGGAUCAAACAGGAUUAGAUACCCCUGUAGUCC